Long non-coding RNA from Megachile rotundata (alfalfa leafcutting bee), 1097 nucleotides. The record is from RefSeq and is a predicted model, not a curated record. NCBI's taxonomy places the organism in Eukaryota, Metazoa, Arthropoda, Insecta, Hymenoptera, Megachilidae.
UAUAUUAUCUUAUUUCAAGAUUCAAUUACAUAUAAUUUAAAUUAAUACAAAUUUUUUACUGUCAUUUACUGAUAAUUGAAGUUUAGUAAUUAUAUCAUAACUUUGCAAUAAUUAAUGCAAAUAUUUCAAAGAUAAAGCAAUUUAAGAUUUUUGAUAACUGUAUGACAUAAUAACACGGAAAAGAUAAUUACAAUUUUUCGAUUCAAAAUGUUUUUAAAUUCAUUUUUUAUAUAUUGAAUAAAUUUCACAAAUAAUAUAGUCUGAUCCCACUACUAUCUGUCGUGCGCACCAUGAUAUUGCGCGUUACCAACGCACACACAUCGGAGACAAAUGUAGCCUCCAAUUGGCGUGGCUUCUACGGGACAAAAACGGAGAACGUGGAAGCAACAGGCAGGCAAUUUUGCCAGACGGAGGGAUUUAUUAUUUUUUCACAUUUAAACUAUUUAUUUCUUACCUUCUAAAUCUAUUUAUUCUUAAAAUUUGUUAUAUAUUAUGUUCAAGUAUCUAAUGAACUUGUCAAAAUUUUUAAUCAAUGAACAUUUGACAAGAAAAAUAGGUCAAUUUAUGAAGUUAACGUAACGUAAGAAUAUCACCUCCAACUCUGGCAAACAAAAUGGACAGGUAGAGAGCCCGAGUAUGCACACGCAGCUGACUUUCUCACACAACAGCCGCAAACUGCACUCCGCCUGGAUGAAAUUAUCAGAUCGCCUCCGAGUGUCAAAUGUCUCUUCUUUUUCUUUCUUUCUCUUCCUCUCUCUCCUGCCUUUUUUCAUAUUUGCACACACAUACGCGCAUUCUCUCUAUUUCUUUCUUUCCCUUUCUCUCCUACCGCCUAGCAAGAGCUACCGAGCUACACGAGCUUACCAUUUCAAACCGAAGUUCCCCUUCUCCUUCCGUCUUUAUAUUCGCAUCCAAAAAAUUCUCUCCGACAUGAUCGGCUAGGUUGUUGCUGUUUGUAAUGGUGCUCGCAACUACCAAAGAAUUAGGAUUGGGACGGAUAAUCACUUACCUUGUUGCUCUUGAUUUAAUUCCGUACUGCCGGCAUGAGAUGGUCCUGGCAUUCCACCCUCUAAUGGUCCACUACCCCCGCCACCGCC